RNAcentral lists this ribosomal RNA (468 nucleotides) under uncultured bacterium. RNAcentral's name for it is "partial 16S ribosomal RNA". It matches the Rfam family "Bacterial small subunit ribosomal RNA", at positions 28 to 507 of the family's 1533-position model. The record is from RNAcentral.
GACGAACGCUGGCGGCGUGCUUAACACAUGCAAGUCGAACGGAAAGGCCCUGCUUUUGUGGGGUGCUCGAGUGGCGAACGGGUGAGUAACACGGGAGUAACCUGCCCUUGACUUUGGGAUAACUUCAGGAAACUGGGGCUAAUACCGGAUUGGAGCUCCUGCUGCAUGGUGGGGGUUGGAAAGUUUCGGCGGUUGGGGAUGGACUCGCGGCUUAUCAGCUUGUUGGUGGGGUAGUGGCUUACCAAGGCUUUGACGGGUAGUCGGCCUGAGAGGGUGACCGGCCACAUUGGGACUGAGAUACGGCCCAGACUCCUACGGGAGGCAGCAGUGGGGAAUAUUGCACAAUGGGCGGAAGCCUGAUGCAGCAACGCCGCGUGCGGGAUGACGGCCUUCGGGUUGUAAACCGCUUUCGCCUGUGACGAAGCGUGAGUGACGGUAAUGGGUAAAGAAGCACCGGCUAACUACGUG